Molecule: small nucleolar RNA, 131 nt
Filed under: Brassica rapa (field mustard)
Lineage: Eukaryota; Viridiplantae; Streptophyta; Magnoliopsida; Brassicales; Brassicaceae
Description: snoRNA SNORD14
Rfam family: Small nucleolar RNA SNORD14
About the family: U14 small nucleolar RNA (U14 snoRNA) is required for early cleavages of eukaryotic precursor rRNAs. In yeasts, this molecule possess a stem-loop region (known as the Y-domain) which is essential for function. A similar structure, but with a different consensus sequence, is found in plants, but is absent in vertebrates.
Source: RNAcentral
GGUUGAUGAGGAUUUAUCUUUUAAGGCUUGUUUCUCAAAACAUUCGCAGUGGCCGCCUAAAGCUUUCGCCUUUCGCCAGGCUUGAGAGUUUAUGCUGCUUUUUAUCCUUCCUUCCUUGGAUGUCUGAAACC